UACAGAGACUGCAAGCGUUAUUCGGAUUCACUGGGCGUAAAGGGUGCGCAGGCGGUCGGGUGUGUCAGAUGUGAAAUCCCGAGGCUCAACCUCGGAACUGCGUCUGAAACUACUCGACUAGAGUACUGGAGAGGGUAACGGAAUUCACGGUGUAGCAGUGAAAUGCGUAGAUAUCUGGAGGAACACCGGUGGCGAAGGCGGCAUCCUGGACCGGCAUUGACGCUGAGGCGCGAAAGCCAGGGGAGCAAACGGG
RNAcentral lists this ribosomal RNA (253 nucleotides) under uncultured bacterium. RNAcentral's name for it is "partial 16S ribosomal RNA". It matches the Rfam family "Bacterial small subunit ribosomal RNA", at positions 524 to 776 of the family's 1533-position model. The record is from RNAcentral.